Molecule: ribosomal RNA, 585 nt
Filed under: uncultured bacterium
Lineage: Bacteria
Description: partial 16S ribosomal RNA
Rfam family: Bacterial small subunit ribosomal RNA
Source: RNAcentral
UGGGGAAUUUUGGACAAUGGGCGAAAGCCUGAUCCAGCAAUGCCGCGUGUGUGAAGAAGGCCUUCGGGUUGUAAAGCACUUUUGUCCGGAAAGAAAUCCUUGGCUCUAAUACAGUCGGGGGAUGACGGUACCGGAAGAAUAAGCACCGGCUAACUACGUGCCAGCAGCCGCGGUAAUACGUAGGGUGCAAGCGUUAAUCGGAAUUACUGGGCGUAAAGCGUGCGCAGGCGGUUUGCUAAGACCGAUGUGAAAUCCCCGGGCUCAACCUGGGAACUGCAUUGGUGACUGGCAGGCUAGAGUAUGGCAGAGGGGGGUAGAACUCCACGUGUAGCAGUGAAAUGCGUAGAGAUGUGGAGGAAUACCGAUGGCGAAGGCAGCCCCCUGGCCAAGUACUGACGCUCAUGCACGAAAGCGUGGGGAGCAAACAGGAUUAGAUACCCUGGUAGUCCACGCCCUAAACGAUGUCAACUAGUUGUUGGGGAUUCAUUUCCUUAGUAACGUAGCUAACGCGUGAAGUUGACCGCCUGGGGAGUACGGUCGCAAGAUUAAAACUUAAAUGAAUUGACGGGGUCAUAGCUGUUUCCU